This is an RNA transcript of Astyanax mexicanus (Mexican tetra), 2115 nucleotides long. It is a transcript of the gene named arginine/serine-rich protein 1, with no coding region annotated. The record is from RefSeq and is a predicted model, not a curated record. The transcript has 4 exons. NCBI's taxonomy places the organism in Eukaryota, Metazoa, Chordata, Actinopteri, Characiformes, Acestrorhamphidae.
GGAAAGUUCCAGCAUAUAAAACGGGGGCAGCAGCGCUGUGAUCACUGAUUCACACCACAGACAGAGGACGGUCCGUCCGAUCACUUACCGCCCGACUUUACCAGCUUUCUUCAACCUACAGCAGAAAUACAGACGUUUUACGAACGCUCGAGAGGUCUGACAAUGAAGACUGAGGAAAAUAGCCAGACCCAGCAGGCUCGCCUCAGCGAGGGAAUGCGGCUCAUCUUUGACCAGGAGUCCCUCUCCUCUAGCUCCAGUAGCCACCGCAGCAGCAGCCAGGAUAGUUCUUAUUCUAGCAGCAGGAGCAGGAAGUCACGAAAGUCAUACGGCCGCCGCCGAGAUCGCCGCAGAUCUCGCUCCUCCUCUUCCUCCUCUUCUUCUUCUUCUUCCUCUUCAUCCUCCUCUAACAGUGACUCUUCCUCAGGUAGCCGCUCACGGUCACGUUCUCACCCAAGAUGCCACCGUGCUUCUGACCGGUCUCGCUGCCGACACCGGCGCCACUCUCCUCCUCGUCGCUACAGAGCCCGCUCUCGCUCCUACAGCCCAUCACCAGAUCGCUGGCGCCACCGUGAUCGCAGGCACAGGGCCUACUCUCGCUCCCGCAGCCGCUCUCGUUCACAUGAGCGCUACUACAGACGCUCAUACAGGUCACGGUCACGAUCCUCAAGCUGCAGUCCAUCAAAAGGCAGGUUUGUGGGGCGAUACCGGUGCAGAUUCCCCCAGUCACCCAGAAGGAGCAGCUACAGAGACUACAGAAGCAGAUCAAGGUCCCUAGAGCAUUCUGCUGUUCGGCUCAGCCAGAGAGAAAAAGUGGAACUUCUGAACAUUGCUAAAGCAAAUGCCUCCAAGAUCUUUGGAGUGCACAACCUGGAGCUGCCUGCCAGUGUGAAGAUUGUGGAGCAGCAAGACAAGACCCCAGAGAGAAAUGCUAAUGAACGGGUGAGAGCAGACCCCGAGCCACUGAAGAAACCAGCACAGGUGAUUAUUAGUCUUUCAGUGAGUGAUGAUUAGUUGAUCAAUAAUGUAGUAAGUACCCUCCUCUCUUUGGAGAGAAGCGGUGAUUUUAAUUAUCAGGACUGAUUAAGAGCUGUCAGCUACAUUACCAUAUAGUAAAGGGCCUUUUUAACUUUUGGUUACCACUUUGAGUGAAAGCAUGGAUUUGAAGUGUCAUUGUGCUCUGUGUAACCCAACCUUGGGUCAUGGUGUAAAUUAUCUCCUCAGACGUGAUUGUUUUUGGCUGAUGGAUUAAAUGGAAUGGAGAUGAAGGCAAAAAAUAUAGACCACCAGCAGCUACAUACAGUCAUAUCCGGAUUAGAUCACAUGACAGUGGUCUGCACUCCUCCACCCCUUGGAAUAGGAGAAAGAGGGAAAGUCAUUUGACUUGAGUGACAACAUUGGGUUUUCAAGAAGGCUUAAAAUCUUUAAUUGUGCAUAUGGUUAAGUAACAUCAGUGCUAAUAUAACCACUACUCUAUAUAUAUUUAAAACACAAUUUAACGUUUUGAUUUUUACAAUACAUUAACACCUAAUUUCAUUUUAAACACACUUCGGACAAGACAUGUAAUGGUAGUUAAAAGUGCACAGUGCUUUAAACACACAAAGCUGUAAUCAUAGUUAAAGCUGCAGAACUUGAACAUGCUAAUAUGCUUAUGGUUCAACUGGGUGCAUUGUUAUUUACCAGAGUCGUCCUCGAAUCUGUGUGUCUGAAGAAACUCAGGCGUACGGACUGGCUCUUAGUGGCCCUUAAAUCAGAAGAGCUGACCCUGUCCCCUCUGUCCUCGUUGUACCAAAGACAAGUCUGCGCCCAGAGCGCUGGAUGGGGGUUUGGACAAAAUCGCUGCGUCUUCAUCAUUCUACUCAGAGAAGAUUUUUUUUGGCUUUACUGUGUUUCCAUGUUUAGCUAUAUAAUAUAUUAUUGCUAUCUGUAGUGAUAAUUUGAUUAGUCUCUGACAGCAGUACACACUGUUGACAGAUUGAACAGACACUUUGCUUUCUUUUAUGCAUGUACAGAUUUAAAUAUUAAGGGUAGAUAGAAAGUAGAUUUGCUGAGAAUUUAAUAUUUUGGUGUUCACAUUUCUUCUUCUUGUCUCUACAGGAAAAAGAUGUGACGAAUAAA